CUUGGGUCAGUGGGUCCGAUGAUUUUGUUCACUGCUCAAUUGCCGCCAUUUGUAAUCGUUUCGGAUUAAAGCUAGGUUGAAGUGUCGCUGAAGAACAUUUUAUUUUCAGUAAAUAGACUUACAGGUUAAACGAAACCCGAUUGGAGCUUUGAAGACUUUUUCGUCCCUGUGGCAUCCGGAUUUGAUCCGCUGAACGGGCUAAAUAAAGAUUAGAAACCCGCUGGACGGCCGCUUUGACGCGAUGAUAUGUAACCGCACUAUGGACACAUGAAUAAUCAUGCUGAAGGGCGGAAUCCCAUAUCGCAAAAUUUCGCAAUUGAGAUACAACUUAGUAAAGGCAGGUCGCUACGCGUUUAUGUUGAGUAUACACUAAAAUCAUGA
Long non-coding RNA from Armigeres subalbatus, 381 nucleotides. RefSeq lists it as uncharacterized. The transcript is spliced from 3 exons. Lineage: Eukaryota; Metazoa; Arthropoda; Insecta; Diptera; Culicidae. The record is from RefSeq and is a predicted model, not a curated record.